AUGGCCACCGCCGCCGUCGACCCGGGAGAAUCGACGCCGGCCACCGCCGCGAUGCCGCGCGCCGGCCCCGCUCGGCCGGAUCCCGCGCGCCGCGUCCCCGUCACCCCGCGCGAGCUAGGGUUUACGCCGUUCCGCGACCCCCCUCCCCCUCCUCGAGAAGAAGAGGGGGCGCUGCCGAACUCGUCGGAGGGGGAAAUUCAGGCGCCUGAGUGGAAAUCUCUUGCCGGAUCUCAAGCUGGUCCAGAAACCGAGGGCGUGAGGACACCUGCAAGUUUGGUUAAGAGCACCCAUGAAGCUUUGGCGCAAGAAGCAUUCACCGAUGAACGGCAUGCGCAGUUGGAUGCACAGAUACUAGUCAAUGCAGAUCUUUGCCAGGGAAAGCCACUAGCAAAGGCCGCCAUACGCCCUGCACGCGACUCUCCUCCUCUAGAGGGAGCACUGCCAAAUUCACCAGAGGAGGUUCAGACCCCUGAGUGCAAACCUUAUGCCAGAUCUCAAGCUCUUCCAGAAACUGUGCAUGUGAGGACACCUGUAAGUUGGGUUAAGAGCACCCGUGAAGCUUUGACGCAUAAAGCAUUCGCCUAUGAACUGCAUGCACAGUUGGAUGCACAGAUACUGGUCAAUCCAGAUCUUAGCCAGGGAAAACCACCAGCAAAGUCCGCCCUACGCCCCAUGUGCAACCCUCCUCUAGAGCGAGCACUGACAGAUUCAUUAGAGGAGAUUCAGACUCCUGAAUGGAAACCUUAUGCCGGGUCUCAAGCUGUUCCAGAUACCGAGGGUGUGAGGACACCUGGAAGUUCGCUUAAGAACACCUGUGAAGCUUUGGCGCAUGAAGCAUUCACUGAUGAACAGCAUGCGCAGUUGUAUGCACAUAUAUUAAUAACUGCAGAUCUUAAACAGGGAAAACCACCAUCAAAGGCUGCCAUGGUUCUGGCCUUUGGACAACCUGUGGAGGGUCAGAAACAUGCUUGGGAGGAGGUUUGGCGUGCUGCUGUUGACAGAUACCAGAACCAAAUGUCACCACUGGGCUUUGAGACACCUUUUAGUUCCCAGAAUGGCCCGUUAGAACCAUCUCCUAACAGCAUGAAGAAUUUUGAGGAGUUUGAGCUGAAGGAGGCACAUUCAGAGCUCGUUGAUGCACAGACUAGCAAAUGGCAGAACCAGAAGUCACCAAUGACUGGCUUUGAGACACCCAUCAAGUCUGUGAUAGGUAAUUGCGCAGCUCAAGGUUUGGAUGUUCAGAAUGGCGGAGAGGUUCAGCUGGCAGUCAGUUGUGCUGACAAACUAGAUCAAGAGCCACCUGAUGACAGAAAGAUAAAGAAUACAAUCUAUGGUGGGCUAGAGUCUCGUUGCGGCAGCACUCCCUCGGAAAGUUCAGAAAGCUUGACGGAACUGGACUCAUGUGUGAAAUGCGGUAAAGAUGGGCAGCUGCUGAAAUGUUCCAGCUGCUUCUUAGCCGCCCAUGCUAGCUGUUUUGGUUCAUCGGUGACAUUUGAUGACUCUGGCCAUUUUGAUUGUCCUGUUUGCUAUUGCCGAAAAGCUGCUAAAGCAAUGGAAAAGGCUAAGAAAACAUAUUCUGAAGCUAGGAAAAAUUUAUCUGUUUUCUGCAGCGGCUGGAAGCAAUUUUCUAAGGAACACAGUGAGCUGAUGAAUGGCUUUCACACAGCUAAAAAGCAAGGUCAGUCUGAAGCAGCUGAGCUAUGUCGCAAGGAUGGAGAGCCUAGUCAUCUGAAAGAAAAUGGUACAAGUGAUGCUGGUCCUGAGAAGGUAGUCACCACAAAGACAACCAUUUUUUCGAGUUCUGAAAAUGCAAAAUCCCAUGGAGACAGCAAUAGCAAUUUGUCUCGUGAAGCGCCAUAUUCAGCUCGGGAUAGAUUCAGUUCUGUUGCAAAUCGCAACAUUGGGGUUGGCAAAGAGAAUUGUCUUAUGAAUUCUCCCAAUUGCAAUUUUUCUGAUAGACUAGGAGCUAUAUCUUCGCGAAACAUAAGCCGCCGCAAAGUAAGCUUUCAAGAAAUGGGGACAGUGGCACCAAAUAGUACUUGGAAAACAUUGAGGUACCAGGAUCAGUUCGUGCAUUCACCAGCAAGGAAAAGAUAUUAUCCAUGCCCACCCGAGCAUUACUACAGUCCACACACACCAGCUAUGAGGAGUCUGCUGGCGCCAAGAAAAACGCCUUAUACAGGUAAAACGCCUUUUACAUCGACAACCGCGAGGCGCAAGAUGGUCUUCUGGACCGAGGCAGAGGAGGCGGCUCUGAGGGAGGCAGUGGCGAAGCUUGCCCCGAAGGGGGAGGCCGCGAAGGAGAAGAGGUCGAUCUCGUGGGUGCGCAUACACGAUUACUGCAGGGAGUCGAUCCACCCCACACGCUGCCCGGACGACCUGCGGAAGAAGUGGAACCGCAUGAAGAACAAGCUGGGUGUGUGUCCUGAAGACGGUAGCGUAGGAGGAGACAGCUGCUUCUGA
This 2463-nucleotide ribosomal RNA is filed under the name Triticum aestivum (bread wheat). Its description in RNAcentral is "partial small subunit ribosomal RNA". The record is from RNAcentral. Lineage: Eukaryota; Viridiplantae; Streptophyta; Magnoliopsida; Poales; Poaceae.